Long non-coding RNA from Orcinus orca (killer whale), 4451 nucleotides. RefSeq lists it as uncharacterized. NCBI's taxonomy places the organism in Eukaryota, Metazoa, Chordata, Mammalia, Artiodactyla, Delphinidae. The record is from RefSeq and is a predicted model, not a curated record. The transcript is spliced from 5 exons.
UCUGGUGCUUUUUUUUUUUCCUCUUGCGGUUCCCCUCCCUGAGAGGCCUCCAGGCCAGGCGACCUUUACAGCCCAUAGCAAAGGACCACUCCCCACCUUCCUCCAGAACUGGCCACCCGGCCGCCUUGCUCUGGGUGUUCGGACCCCACUGCUGCCCUGACCCGCGGGGAAACCAAGCUCCAUUUUUCAGAGGAAGAAACUGAGGCAGGACAGAGAAGGGGAGACCUUAGGAAGACCUUAGACUGUUGGCUCCAGGUGGGCAGAGCCCCUGCGCACUGUGGGUCCUCACUGAGGAGCAACUGAUGGGCAGCAUUCUAGCAAAUACGCCUCUUGCUACAGAUGAGGAAACUGAGGCCAGACUGGAAAAGGGCUUGGAGUCUGGUGUGAGGGAUUCCAGGUGUAGGGCCUGGAGGCCUCUCACUGCCUCUGCAGUGUCCCCUGCAGUGUCCUCAGGGACUGGGACCAAAGGCUGUUCCAAAGUCUAAAUUCUUGGGUCCCACCUCUGUCCUCAGUGCUUAUCUCCUGAGGCCCAGAGAAGACAGCCACUGGCCCUUGGUUACACAACAGGGGGUCCUGAGCCCCAGGCCUGCACGCUGUCACCACCUCUUUCCCCUGCCCUCGUCCCCUGCUCCCAGGAUGGUCUCAAGAGGCAAUUCUGGACUUCUGGAUUCCUAAGGUCCUGGGAGGGACUGGGCUUGGGGUGCCUCUGCCUCCAGGGCCAGCUCUGGGCUGCCACCUCCAGGAAGUCGCCUAUGACUUCCUCCCUCCUCUACCAUAACAGCAGUAAGCUUUCCUGCCCAGAGAGGGGAACUGACCCAGUCAGGAUUACACAGCAAGAGCACAGGCAGCAGCUCAACAUCCUGGAUCACACUGCUCCUGCAUUCCACACACCAGCACCGACCAGCCAGACGUGCUUCCAGAGAAGAAGAGCACCAGACAACACACUGAAUAAAGCAGGGCACCCAGAGAAACGCCACCCUCCUGGGGAGUUCCCAGCCUUGCUUAUUUGAUUGAAUUUUUCAGAAAUAGACGGCGAAGCCCGCAUCCGCAGCGCAUCAGCGACAGGACAGGGAAGACAGAGUCCCCAAGGGCCCGCGGAAGCAGAGCCAGACCCACCUGCGCACACAGAACGCUCACCGCGCCCCUGCCGGCCAAGCAGGAAUCUCCCCAUUUCUCAGAGGAGCCAGCUGGGAUCAGUGAGAGCGAGAAUCAAUUACUGAUUACCGGAACCCAGGAGUCUGGGCUGGAGCAGCGCAAAGGCCCACAGCCAGUCUCGAGGGGGCGCCCUGAGUCCCUGAGCCUCCAGGGGGCUGCUGUUCUCAGGUCAGACUUGAGCCUUGUUCUCCGGAAGUCUCCAGGGAAAACAACUGUUUGAUAUCCUGAACGUGUGAGGAGCUGAACUGGAGGAAGAGAAACCCAGCCCAAGGAUCAAGCAAGGCUUUCCACAGGAGGGGUCUUUUUGGCUGGGCUUUGAAGUAUGAAUAGGAGUUCACAAAGGAGACAAUUUAGAGGGGGCUUGACAGAAGUCAGCCUCAACCUUGGCCCAGAGAAGGAAAGCAAGAUGCAGGGCCACACAGCAAGAAUGUAGCCUUGGAACUCAGCCAGGAGGUGGGAAAGUGCUUCCCAGGUCUGGAGAUUUGCUGGCGCCCAGGAUGCCUGGGGUGGGUGUGUUCUCAGAGGACUGGCGUGAACUCAGGAGCUGGGACUUUGUCCGCAAUGGUAAUGGGGAGCUAUAGAGGGUGGGGGAGCGGGAGAGGGGAGGGCCAUGUCUGAUGUUUCAGCAGAUGGCUCUCCAUUAUGAAAGGGCCCAGGAGGCUCCAAAACUAACUCUGUAGCCUCAGAUUUCAGAUUUCUGUCUGUCUCUGGCCAAGUAGAAGUUUGUAUUAGAAAUACUAGCACUAUACAAAUAAUUAUAAUAAUAGUAAUGAGAAUAAUAACCUAUGCGUCUGUGAUACUCUUUCAUUUUUCUGAUGUUCUAUAAUUUGAUUUUAUCCCAUGGCAACCCCAAGAGGCAGGAAGGGCAGCUUUCAUCAUGAUGUUUUAAGUUGUGGGUAGCAAAGCUGACAGUCGAGGUUGGGGACCUGCCUGGGGUAUGGGGAGCACGCAGCUCACUCACGUUCAUGCAGGGCCACGCUUACCUGGAUGAGGUGAGGUGGUGAGCCCCCAGCUGGGACCGACUGUCGCUACAUGCCCAGAUGCCCUUCAUGAGCCUCUAGGAGGCAGGCCCUGUCCUGCUCACUACCCAUUAACUGCCCCAUGAGGCAGGGGCCUUGAUGUUUCCCCAAAUCCAGGUGAAGCCCAGAGGAGUGAGGGGACAUGCCCAAGGUCACACACAGCCAGGGAAAGAUGGCAAGAGGGGGAAUAUCUGCCAUCUCUGUGACUCUGGGCAAGUCACUUUACUUGCAAAGGCCCUCAGUUUUCUCACUUGUAAAAUGGGGGAGAGGACUUCCCUGGUGUCACAGUGGUUAAGAAUCCGCCUGCCAAUGCAGGGGACACGGGUUUGAGCCCUGGUCUGGGAAGAUCCCACAUGCUGCAGAGCAACUAAGCUCGUGCGCCACAACUACUGAGCCCGCACUCUGGAGCCCACGAGUCACAACUACUGAGCCCACGUGCCACAACUACUGAAGCCCGCGCACCUAGAGCCUGUGCUCCGCAACAAGAGAAGCCACUGCAAUGAGAAGCCCGCGCACUGCAACGAAGAGUAGCCCCCGCUCGCUGCAACUAGAGAAAGCCCGCGCAGCAACGAAGACCCAACACGGCCAAAAAUAAAUAAAGAAAAUAUUUUUUAAAAAAAAAUUAUUAAAAAAAAAAAAGUAUCUGCCUGCCGAUGCAGGCGACAUGGGUUCCAGCCCCGGUCCGGGAACAUCCCACAUGCUGUGGAGCAACUAGGCCCGUGCGCCACAACUACUGAGCCUGUGCUCUGGAGCCCACGAGCCACAACUACUGAGCCCACGUGCCACAGCUACUGAAGCCUGUGCGCCUAGAGCCCGUGCUCCGCAGCAAGAGAAGCCACCGCAGUGAGAAGUCCGUACACCGCAACGAAGAGCAGCCCCUGCUCGCCACAGCUAGAGAAAGCCCACGCGCAGCAACGAAGACCCAACGCAGCCAAAAAUUAAUUAAUUAAUUAAUUCAAAUAAACAAAAAACGAAAACAACCACGGAGCUGGACUUCCUUGGUGGUCUAGUGGUUAAGACUCCGCUUUCCCAAGGCAGGGGGCACGGGUUCGAUCACUGGUCCGGGAAGAUCCUGCAUGCCAUGUAAGCGCAGCCAAAAAAACCCAAAAAAGACACGGAGUUGCUGGGCUGUGGUUACAACUGCUCUUGUUUCCAGGGAAGAACCGGGGGCCAGUGGCCUCUCUGUGGUACCUGCUCAUGGUUGGUUUUGGGGGAGGGGGUGGGGGGGUGUAGGGAGGAGGAGAAAGGUGUUCAUGUAUCAGCAGAUAAGCUAAGCUUCCUGGUUCUGCCCUAGCCCACUCCCAGGGUCCUUAUGAGCGGAGAGCAAAGGACAAAGUGCAGGGGCUGGAAUCUGGCCUCGCCCUGUCAUCCAGGGGCACUUGUAGGCAUAUGUAGGCUUAGUCAUGACAGUCACCUUUCCCGGAGGGUGUACGGGGUGUGACGCCAGGCUUCCAGCUCAGGAAUCUGAAAAUAUACGUGCACACCUCCGCCCACCUGUCCCUAUCCUCCACUGAAAUGUCACCCCAGGCCUGGGGGCAGGGGCAGUAUCCACUAUGGGCCUAGAGACCUUAGGGGCCCCCACCCUUAGGAAGGGCAGCGCCAGGACUCCUGGCCAGGUCUUGCUGACCCCGGAGGAGGGAGGGGAUUGUGCGGGUGUCGCGGAGCAUUUGCAGCAGGGCUGGACCAGGGUCUUCAGGCCCUGCGGCAGCCCCAUCUUCUGCCGCUCAGCUCCUCGGGCCUGUGAACUCCCUCCAAGGCCUGGCGAUUUCUGGGGGGGGACUCAGGAGAAUCUCUUCGGGCAUAGCUGGGACAGCAUUCCCCGUGUCCAGACCCUCUGGCUGGGGUUCAUGAGGCCCCACGACAGAAGAGCAGAACCUUCGCAGCACCCUGAAUCACACCCUGCUGUCUCUGGGCCUCAGUGUGCCCACCUGCAAAAUGGAGCCCAGUGGCCUCAAACCAGCCUUGCAGGGUCCCAGCUGGACUCUGGACCACACGGAUGUGGUGGAAUACUGGGUUCCCAGAAUCCCACAGCCCAUCCCGGCCCUCCUCCCGUACAGUGGCCAGGGCUGGAGCUGGUGGCUGUUGAAGGUGGAGGAGAGCUUUGUUGGGAGUCUGGACCGGGAGACACUGAGCUGCAGGACAGAGGCCCUGACUCUCCCAGGUCAGGGGAGCGGGGAGGGGGUGUGUCUAAGUCAAAUCAGAGGGUGGGAGCCCAUCUGGACACCUCAGGUAGGUAACUGUCUGGGGUCCCAAGGUGAGCGUGCGCAGACCCAUCCC